GGAUGUGAGAGCAUUCUAGCUGUGAUGUCUGUCACCCCACUAUCUCUAGGGUUGAGUUGGCUUAUCUGACUAGCCAGGAUAGGGAUCCUUUUCCUCCCUCAUUACUUCAUGUGAGUCCCUCCUGAAGCUGCCUGUUCAGUCAAAUAGAGAUGGGCUGGUCUUCAGUCAAGGGUAAAAGUAGCUUUGCUCCCCUGUUAGAACCUCCAAACAAUCUCUCAAAUAGGCUAUGUGUGUUGGAGAAUGGAAUUGGAUGGGCUUGGGAAUGAAGUGAGAAUUGGGUAGCCAAGGUCAGGUUGUGGAAGUUUCAACC
Erinaceus europaeus (western European hedgehog) is the source of this 310-nucleotide non-coding RNA. NCBI's taxonomy places the organism in Eukaryota, Metazoa, Chordata, Mammalia, Eulipotyphla, Erinaceidae. The record is from Rfam.